This 364-nucleotide long non-coding RNA is filed under the name Lathyrus oleraceus (garden pea). Its description in RNAcentral is "Pisum sativum (pea) long non-coding RNA (PSAT_LNC008593)". Lineage: Eukaryota; Viridiplantae; Streptophyta; Magnoliopsida; Fabales; Fabaceae. The record is from RNAcentral.
UUCACCUUCUUCAACAUUGAUUCGCCUCUCGUGGACCUUAUUCCAAACUGGAAGAAUCUUUCAAACUUCACAACAAUCCACAGCAGUAAUGAAUGUUCAUGUCUGAGUUUUGGCACGUACAAGUUCGGCUGGCUAGUGCUGAUCCAUGUUUUGUCGACGACCUGGGGGAAUCUCCACAUGUCCUCCUGCAAAACUGUAACAAACACAGUUGCAGCCUUGUGAUAAUCAUAAGCCGAAAUCAAAACACAGAAUUAAAAUCAAGAAGUUUAGGAUGCAGAAAAUACUUGGAUGGAGAUUGUAACAAGCUGAUUUUGGCUAUGGCUGGCGGUUCAAGUCUCCUCUCGUCAAGUAAUUGUUUGACCUU